This is a long non-coding RNA of Equus caballus (horse), 1797 nucleotides long. NCBI's taxonomy places the organism in Eukaryota, Metazoa, Chordata, Mammalia, Perissodactyla, Equidae. The record is from Ensembl.
GCCCUGCGUAACCAAUAGAAUGUAGCAGAAUUGACACGCCUGACUUCUGAGGCUAGGUCAUAAGAUGCCGUGCAGCUUCCACCUUGGCUCUUAGAACACUGCUGUGGGAUGAGCCCACUGCCAUCAAAGAAGCUUAACUACUCUGAGCUGCCAUGAUGUGAGGGAGCCCACGCCAGCCACUUGGAAAGACCACAUGGAGAGAAAAAGAUGGCCAGCUGGUCCCUGGUUGUUCCGGUCAUCUCAGUUGAGGCAGCAGACGAGUCAGUGAAGAGGCCAUCUGGACGUCCAGCCCAGUCAAGCCUUGAGGUGACCUCAGCAGCAGCUGCUUUCUGACAGCAACUGCAUGAGAGACCCAAACGAGAACCUCCCAGCUGAGCCCAAUCAACACACAGCACUACGACGGAUAAAUUGUUUUAAGCCUCUUAGUUCUGGGGUGGUUCAUUAUGCAGCAGUAGAUACUGGAGGCAGAUGUGAACAGUGAAGGGAGACUGACCAGCCCCCCAGCCCCCACCCAGAGCACAAUGUCCUGCAGCCCAGACCCAUGGGGAGAGGGGUACUCCACCUCAGCUGGACAGCUGGCUGCAAUCUGAUAGGUCCGUCUCUCUCUGCUAAGAGGAGAAUAAACUCUUUGUGACCACAGAAGUGCAUCUGCCAAGGGCCCCACAGCCCCCAGGGCCCUGACAAAGGACAGCAGGGGAGAUUUUCUGGGAACUGGCUCACCACACACCUGAAUACUUCACAUCUGGCAGGACGGAGAGAAGCCAGAUCAAAGAGGCUGGCGACUCCGGGAAGCUGCUGGUCCUUGUCAUGGGGGACUGCUCAGGGGCACGCCACGGUCAGGAGUGGCUGCUGGCCCCUACUGACCUUUACGUCAACAGAGACUGCCUCUCUCUCUGUCUUUAUUUUCUUCUUUCUCUUUCUUGGUAGUUAAAGCAUUUGUAAAUUAAUAUUUUAUAUAGAUGGUACAUGUUACAUAGAUAACAUACGUUUUAUUAUAUACAUGUAAUUAAAAGCAACCAUUCCAUCCCACCCUUCCCACCCCUUACUCAGUUCUCUAGAGGCAAUCACUUAAGUUUUUGUUUCAAAUUUAUUUGAAUAGGUAAUACAGGCAUGAGGUAAAAAUUUCAAAGGUACCACCCAGCUCCUCUCCUCAAAGGCAACCACUCUCACCAAUGAAUUACAUCUUCCAGAGAAAUGCUAGGUCUAUGUCAGCAUGUAAUAUAAAGAUCCUUUAAAAAUAAUACAGAAACGGUAAUUUGCUACAAACACUGUUACGCACCUUGCUUUUUCACCUAACGCUGUAUCUCGAAGAUCUUCCAUAUCAGGACAUCAACCCCUGCUCUCUUAUUUUCGGAGGCUGCACAACAUUUCAUCGUAGGCAUGGAUCAUAACUGGUUUAGCCAGCUCCUACUGAGAGACAUCGAGGUUGAUGCCAACCUUUUGAUAUUUCAGUGAAGCAGCAAAGAACCUCGUCCUCACGUCUUCCCGCACAUGUGUGCCUCUACCUGUAAGGAUCCUGGAGUCAAAAGGACGCCUGCCACAACAUGGCUUGUCAAGUGGUGCCACGUCCGUACCUGGGAUCCGAACCAGUGAACCCCAGGCCUCCAAGAAGCAGAACGUGAGAACUUAAUCGCUGUGCCACGCGGCCAGCCCCAUCUCAUUUCUUUUCAGCACUGAAUAAUAUUCCAUUGUCUGGAGGUACCACAGUUUAUUUAUUCAUUCACCUACUGAAGGACAUCUUGGUUGCUUUCAAGUUUUGGCAAUUAUAAAUAAAGCUGCUAAAACAUUCGUGUGCAG